Long non-coding RNA from Ipomoea nil (Japanese morning glory), 280 nucleotides. RefSeq lists it as uncharacterized. The transcript is spliced from 3 exons. Lineage: Eukaryota; Viridiplantae; Streptophyta; Magnoliopsida; Solanales; Convolvulaceae. The record is from RefSeq and is a predicted model, not a curated record.
AUGCAGAAAGAAUGCAUAUGAGUUUUGUAUGAAUGCCUAUACAAUACAAGCAACCUUGUUUCUGUUCUUAACCUCUUCACCCAGUCUUUAAGGAGGAGGUAGAGUCAUGAAGGUGCUUUUCUGCAUUCGAUCUUCUGUGACAAAACGAAACUGAAAACUCACUCACAAAAGACGAAAUUUCCUCGUUCCAAGGGUCCCACCCACACUCUGACCUUUCUGAAAGCAAUUGGAAAAUUCUUGCCCACAAAAGCUAAAAUUCUCUCGCCCCAAGAGUCUCCAC